This 2478-nucleotide long non-coding RNA is filed under the name Homo sapiens (human). RNAcentral describes it as "HSALNT0347753". Lineage: Eukaryota; Metazoa; Chordata; Mammalia; Primates; Hominidae. The record is from RNAcentral.
CCGGCUGGCCGCUCACGCGUCGGGCCCCCAUUUACUCUCGUUACUGAGGAGACACGGCUCCAGUUUUGACCCGACUACGGUUGUUUUCUUCGUGUGUACCGCGAAAUGCUGAUGACGUCCGGUUCCGCGCAGUUUUUUUCCUAUUUCGUUUCCAACCACAGUUGUGCGGUUCACAGAUUUUUCCCUUGGGAUGUGUUUUCCAUACCUCCAAGCCCACUCUCAGAGCCUUGGGGCCCCAUAAAACUUCAUGCGCAGCUGCUUUCUGGUAUUUGCAGACCUGGAAGGCUUCUCGUAUUCUUAAUUUGGGGAAGAGAGACAUAGGUUUCCUUGUACAACGGGAUGAGGAUUUAAGAGCAGAACGACACUGAUAUUUUAAAGGCGAGGGUAUUUAGAUUUGUGGAGCUGAAACUUGCCUGAAAAGGGAGACAAAAUUUGGAAGUUUGUUGUGUGCAGUUUCUGCCCCUUACCCCCGCCCUUCACUUUUAAACUGCGCAUAUAUCAACAAUAGUUACGGUUGUUGCAGCAGUCUAAAUUUGAUUAUCAGAAUUGACCCUAGGCAUGAAUUUUUUUUUAAAUAUACCAAUGUCGUGUUAUAUACACUUAUACCAUUAUGUCCAGACUUCUCUUAAGCAUAGUUCGUGGUGGGCAGUUUUGUGGUCAUUUAGGGAUGAACUUGGGUAGGGAAAGCUGAGCAUACAUAAUUUAUUUUAGGAAUGCACCAGUUCUGCCAACAUUUAUCAGAAGUCACGUUUUUAAAAAGCUAUUCUGGAACUGAAGAUGUCAUUGGUUUAUAAGAGGAAAAUGGAAGCCAAAAGCUUACACCUCAUGCUCUAUCUUUAAAAAUUAAGGUGGCAGACACAAUGAGUAGAAGGCUUUUAUGUUACCAGAAUGAAGGCUUAAAAUCUGUCAUUUUAUUGACUCGGCUUUCUUUUUAGAAAUUUCUUUAAGAUAUAAAAGCAAUGUGGAAUAUCACUCUUUCACACUCUUAAAAUAGAUUACGUUCUCUGGAACUUCUCUAAUCUGAAAUGUGUUCAAAAAGGAAAAAGAUCUUUAAAAUACGCCAGUUAGUCUAUGGUAUAAUAUUAAACACUAUUCAUCACUAGAGAAGUUAUGGUGGUAUACCCUCCCCUUUCUCAGAUGUCCACCUUAAUGCCAGAAAUGAGCGGAGUUUCCCUUUGUUGUGCAAAAUGACUGUGUCCUUGAGGGAUGUUUGGAUGCUCUUGGUAAACCGGAAUCAGCCAGAAGCAUAUCCGGUGUUAGCCUUGUUGUGUCAUCAACAUUACAACAGUGAGGAAACCCACAUAUUCCAAUGAAAGAGGAAAACUUAAAGAAGAAGUUUCCAGUGUAUUUUCUUUGAGAUAUAUUUAUUCCUAUGACCUCAGAAGAUCAGCUUUUACCGUCCAAGGUUCACUUUGCCUAAAAGCUGAUUGUUCCUGUGGAAACAGUAGCAUCGGAUGACCCUACAAACAAAGCAUUAUGACAUCAUCAGAGCCAACAACCUGGCAUGACAGAUACUAAUAAGGAAAAAAGAGGUUACAAGAAUUCUGACACUCAUCACAGUGGAUCCAAUAUCUGGUCCCUUGGGUUUCAUAUAUGUUAGAAGUAUCUUCUCAGGAGGGAAAAGUCAAUGCCAGUCAUAUCCUUUCUAGCUAUUAGAAAUGUCCAUCAGCUUACGAGGAGAUUCUCCCUCAUCUCACAAACUACCUGCAUCUCCACUUCCCUGGAAGAAAAAAAAAAUCUGGACAUACCCAAGCUGUGUAUGUGCCUGAGAUCUUCCCUUCCAAGGUAAAGAGAGAGCCUGAGACAGGUCUAAAUUAGCAUCUGGACUUUCUGCUAGUAAAGAAAAGGAAAUAUGGGAAACUAAAUAGUAACAUUAAAGGACCCACAAAGGGACUACUGGGUAAGUGCUAUAAUGGAUAAUGUAAUGUGAUUUAUGAAUGCUUUUGUUCUAGUGAUUUAUUAAACUGGGAAGUCAGAAGCAGUCCUGUGAACAUUUGUUUGUUGAAGCAUGAAAAGGCAGAAUUGAUGAGUCCUUGCUUGAGUCUAUGCCUCCACCCAGUAGUUUGUUCUUAGUCUCCUAGGGGCUGAUCUCAGCAGAGAAAUGGAGACAGUUCAGUCACCAACAGUUUGUUACUGGAUUUUGGAAAAGGUACCAAAGUAAGAAUCCAAGGCUUGUAUUCUUAUCUUAGCUCUGUGAUUAACAAGCUUAGCAUUGUGGCUGCAGUGUGGGGGUGGUCAGCCCCGCCCAGGUCACGUGUAACGAGACAUCCCAGAAGGAAGAAGCUUCUUAAACUAAAAUGGGAGGAGAUAAGAGAUGCCAGAGAAACAUAAACUACAGAUGUCCACUACUACAAGGAAUAUAUUCAGUAUAUUCAGCAGACAAUUCUACACCACAAGUUUCCGGCCCUUAAGCUGAGAGAAGGUGGGGAGAAACUCUCAUUUAAGUAGAAGUUUUUGAUUGUGAUAACAUUAGAUGGC